AGUGAACGCUGGCGGUAGGCCUAACACAUGCAAGUCGGACGGCAGCACAGUAAGAGCUUGCUCUUACGGGUGGCGAGUGGCGGACGGGUGAGGAAUACAUCGAAAUCUACUUUUUCGUGGGGGAUAACGUAGGGAAACUUACGCUAAUACCGCAUACGACCUACGGGUGAAAGCAGGGGAUCUUCGGACCUUGCGCGAUUGAAUGAGCCGAUGUCGGAUUAGCUAGUUGGCGGGGUAAAGGCCCACCAAGGCGACGAUCCGUAGCUGGUCUGAGAGGAUGAUCAGCCACACUGGAACUGAGACACGGUCCAGACUCCUACGGGAGGCAGCAGUGGGGAAUAUUGGACAAUGGGCGCAAGCCUGAUCCAGCCAUACCGCGUGGGUGAAGAAGGCCUUCGGGUUGUAAAGCCCUUUUGUUGGGAAAGAAAAGCAGCAGGUUAAUACCCCGCUGUUCUGACGGUACCCAAAGAAUAAGCACCGGCUAACUUCGUG
This 492-nucleotide ribosomal RNA is filed under the name uncultured bacterium. RNAcentral's name for it is "partial 16S ribosomal RNA". It matches the Rfam family "Bacterial small subunit ribosomal RNA", at positions 29 to 507 of the family's 1533-position model. The record is from RNAcentral.